Molecule: small nuclear RNA, 164 nt
Organism: Pipistrellus kuhlii (Kuhl's pipistrelle)
Lineage: Eukaryota; Metazoa; Chordata; Mammalia; Chiroptera; Vespertilionidae
Product: U1 spliceosomal RNA
Exons: 1
Source: RefSeq, a predicted model, not a curated record
AUACUUACCUGGCAGGGGAGGUACCAUGAUCAGGAAGGUGGUUUUCCCAGGGCAAGGCUUAUCCACUGUAUUCUGGAUGUGCUGACCCUUGCAAUUCCCCCCAAUGUGGGAAACGUGACUGCAUAAUUUGUGGUAAUGGGGGACUGUGUUCCCAUACUUCCCUG